This 128-nucleotide ribosomal RNA is filed under the name uncultured eukaryote. RNAcentral's name for it is "partial small subunit ribosomal RNA". It matches the Rfam family "Eukaryotic small subunit ribosomal RNA", at positions 1651 to 1780 of the family's 1831-position model. The record is from RNAcentral.
CCCUGCCAUUUGUACACACCGCCCGUCGCUCCUACCGAUUGGAUGUUCCGGUGAAAUCUUUGGAUCGUGAGGAUAUAGCUUUUUAAGUUACCUCGUGAAAAAUUGAUUAAAUCAUAACAUCUAGAGGA